This 194-nucleotide small nuclear RNA is filed under the name Pelusios castaneus (West African mud turtle). Its description in RNAcentral is "U2 spliceosomal RNA (ENSPCEG00000012628.1)". It matches the Rfam family "U2 spliceosomal RNA". From Rfam's summary of the family: U2 is a small nuclear RNA (snRNA) component of the spliceosome (involved in pre-mRNA splicing). Lineage: Eukaryota; Metazoa; Chordata; Testudines; Pelomedusidae. The record is from Rfam by way of RNAcentral.
GACCCUUUUUUGUAACAUUCACUCCAAUAAAGUAUUUUAAAUCUGUUCUUAUCAGUUUAAUAUCUGAUACGUCCUCUAUCUGAGGACUAUAUAUUAAAUGGAUUUUUGGAAUAGGGAGAUGGAAUAGGAGCUUGCUCCAUCCACUCCACGCAUCGACCUGGUAUUGCAGUAUCUCCAGGAAUGGUGCACCACCC